UCCUGUCCCUGCACUGGCUGCCCCCUCCUCCUGCACCUGCCCUUUUUUUGGUGGCCACGUAAAACCAGUGUCGGGAGAAAGACCUUUCCUCUUCCAACUUGUGUCCAGCGGUUGGGGGCCUGCAAAUUAGCUGAGGAAAGACAGACUAAGAAGAGAAAAGGCAAAGUUUGUUUUCACACGUGCAAGCAGGGGCUCCCACUAGUGGAAAAGCUCACAGAACAGCUCAAAGUAAAGGUUUCAGACCACCUUGCCCCCCACCCUAUAAAUAUCCUGGGUCCCCAUUUCCAGGAGGCAGAUUUGAGACUCAUUCUCUCGCUUCCUCACGUGGCUGCCUGAUGUGAAGGUGUCAUGGGGGACUUCUGAGAUUACUUGAAAGAAGCUCACUUGACUCGCAGUCUCGUCCCGUCUCCCCCUCCCCUUCCUCCUGUUCACCGACUGGACAGACACGUGAUGCCCGACUCCACUGCCAUCUUGGAUCCUGAGGUGAUGGGAAGGGCGGCAGUCACGUGCACUGGAGCAGAAAGAUGGGAGCCGUCUGGAUCCUUGAUAACUUGAGAAACUGAGGCCCAGAAAGGGGAAGAGAUUUGGCUGAACUCUGAAUUUGUGGUAUUCCUUGAUUAUCGUUGAUUGGCAUACUCGACAUUUAUUGAAGGCCUACCACGAAUCAGGCCUGUGCUAGACAGUGAACUGCCUGAGAACAGAGACUGGAGCACAAGAGACUCAGCGAACGUUUGCUGAGUAAAGCAGUGCUGCCCACAGUGGGAGUGGCGCCUCAGGGUUUGUGCAAGACGAUCCUCUGGGAUGCAGGAGGACAAUUUUAGAACUUCCAUUUGCAUUUAAUUUUUAACUAAACAACAAGAACAUAAUUAAUCAUCCCCUGAUAUUUAAGAUCCAGAUUGAUAUAUUGGCUAGCCCUGCAUCGCUCCUGGUACGGGAGGCAUCCUGAGAGAAGGAUGAGUGUUCCCAGCUGUAGAUGGCUCCUGGGGCUUCCUCUCUUGUU
This 1000-nucleotide long non-coding RNA is filed under the name Equus asinus (donkey). RNAcentral describes it as "lncRNA (ENSEASG00005034359.1)". Lineage: Eukaryota; Metazoa; Chordata; Mammalia; Perissodactyla; Equidae. The record is from RNAcentral.